Molecule: non-coding RNA, 3197 nt
Organism: Phalacrocorax carbo (great cormorant)
Lineage: Eukaryota; Metazoa; Chordata; Aves; Suliformes; Phalacrocoracidae
Source: RefSeq, a predicted model, not a curated record
AACGACGACAGAGAGCGACCCAAAAAAAAAAAAAAAAAAAAAAAAGUCCCCAGCCCUCCCUCCCCUCCGUCGGAGCCUCUGGAGGAGGAGGAAGAGGAGGGAGGGAGGAAGGGGGGGGAUCGAGCGGCGCUGGGGCUGGGGUUUUUUUUUUCGCUGCUGCUCCUUGGGUGGGUUUUCGCAGUGCUUCGCGGCGAAGAGUCGCCCGGAGGCGAUGGAGGAGCCGGAGGAGGAGGAGGGAGGAGGGAGGAAGAAGAGGAGGAGGAGGAAGAGGAGGACAAGUGCUGCAGUGACGUGGGUGCCCGAGUGAUAUAGCACGGAGCGGCCGGGCGAGCCUCCAAUCCCCAGGUCAGCAGGACUUUGAAUUUUAUUGCCACCAAAGACAAGGUUUUUCUGCCUCUCGGAACCCCCCUGUACGUGGACUGGAAGCUGCGGAGCCGCAAAGGAGAGGUGCUUUCAUGAGAGUCCUAUUCACUUGGAUUUUGACCCAAAACGUUCACCUGAGGCCACUCCUCAGCUACGGGGGACGUUCCUACUGUUGUUGCUCCAGUUUUGCCUUCUUGGUCUGCUAUUGCACCCGUCACCGUCUGUCCUACGAUCCAAGCCUCCCAAGACUCUGGCCCUGCCCAGGACCUGAAGGACCCUCCAUGCAGCGCAUGUUGGACAGGAAGAAGCUCUCCUCGUCCAACACGUCCCCUGUGUCACCAGGAGCACGUGCCCUCCCGGUCCGCGUGCCCAGAGCGCCGUUGGCGUGCACAUCUCGGGGACGCGGCGCCGAGGGUGAUCUACAGCAACCACGUCCUCCUGCUCAGACAAAGGCUUUGUCUCCAUAACGCGAGGACACGCGCUUUCGGAGCGACACAAGCAUUUGCAUUCAGAAACGUGGCCAGGCGAAGCCGGCGGCUUGUCUGAAGGUGGCUGGAUGUGGGACCUACCCAGAAGGCAGCAAUGGGGAAUCUCUGCUCCUGUAAAUAACCCCAGUCCUGCAGCCGCCACCUCCUUCUCCCUCCUUUCACAAGAGCAGCCUUCCGUGCCAUUAGCUUGAGGAAAUCUGCUAAAAUUAUAAUCUGUUAAGAAAGUAGAAAAAUAUGUACGCUUGCCUUAUUAGAGACAUUUUAAAAAAUACCUAGGAUGGUAAAAAUUGAAAAUUUUCAGCCGUGCCUUAUUUAAACAUACCUGGUUGGGUUACUGAGACACACACCUGCCAUUUAAAAUCUAUUUCUUCUCUUUAAUAUUCAACUAAUAUUUAUUUUAAAUUUAAUUUUUAAAUUACGUCCCCAUUUGCAUUAGAAGCCAUGACUGGAGGAGCCCUCUCGCCCUUCCCAGCGACAGGAGGGCAGUGACCGGCGCGAAGCUUCGCCAGGAGCUGGGGCGCGUUUCGGCCGUCUCCAUCACCCGCAGCAGCGAUGACGGCAGCGAGCGCACCCCGCUCCCCCUUCCCCGGCGCCCCCAGGGACGGGCACGUGCCCCCUGCGGCCGCCUGGGUUGCAACGGCCGUCCCAUGGAAGGAGCAGGGGGAGGGUGCUCCUGCACCCAGGCUCGCGGCCGGGCUUUGGCAGCAAGUGAGCAGGUGUGCACGUAAGCGCAGCCGGAGCCGAGGGGCGAUGAACCGCGUGCCCUAAGGGGCUCUCCUGUGAGACAGAAGCAGUCGUUGCCCUGAAGAAGAGAGGCCUUUCAAUAACAAGAAGCAAAAGGAGCCCCUGCGCCUGCAGAUCUUGUUAGAGACAAAAGGCAACUGGCCUGCCAGGAAGGGAGACGGCCCGGCGUGCUUGUACAGUGCCACCGCAGUUACCAUCGGGAUUUAUUGAGGCCUUCCCCCGAUAAGAUGUGAAAAUUACGGCGGAACCGACGCACGGAGGUACUCGAGGAAGAGGAGGGAGCGAUUGGUUCUGAGGCGGGGGAAGGGAAGGGUGAAGGUGGGGCAGGGGAGCUGCCAUCGCCCCUGCGCCACGUGCUGCCUGCAGCGUUCCCUCUUGCUGGCUUUAUUCCGGGUUUGUUCCUUUAGGAUCCCUGGAAGAAGCUCUUUCUAAGGUCAAGGGGCUCUGCCGGGCUGGGAGCAUCCCCAGGAGCUUUCACUCAAACAAGCAGAACAGACAACUGGAGGAGGAGGAGGAGGAGGAUUCACAUUUCUGAAGUGGGGAAGUGCACUGGAGAGAGGUCGAGCACGCCCAGCAAAGCCCUCCUGGCAGUGCCGUGGCAGAGCUGAAAUGAGCCCGGCUCCCCAGCACGGCCUGAUCCCAAGGUCCCGCUCAGCACCGGUUCAGCGCGCCAGGGUCCCGCUCCUGAGGCUGCCUCCAGAGUUCCCGUAAUUUCUGUGGGACGCAUCAGGAAACAAUAUCCUUUGCUCAUUCAAGGAUUCACACGGGAACCAUUGAAAUAAGUGACACCCCGUGGUGGGGCGAGCUUUUCCCCCCACCCGUGGAGUUACCUACGCACUAAAACAGGCCGUUGUCAGCUGCGGCACCGCUGGGGAAUUACCACAAUUACACCGUAUAAUAUUGACUUAACUAUUUGAAGAACUCUACAGCCCAGUCUCUCCUAAUUAGAUCCAACAUUUAAUGGGGCUUCUUAAUUCAUGAAACUAUUUUCCAAGGCUUUAACAAGUCUCACAAAGGAAGAGCCAGGAGUAUGCAAAAUUUUUUGUCAUUUUAAUAUCUGAUCAAGAGCCCGAGGAUAGCUACCGUUGUAAUACUGGAAUGAUAUCCCGCAGUCCCAGGUUCUCGGGAAUGCCAUUGCAGACAAACUCACUUCAUCCACAAGCGUACCUGAGGAUCGGCCUGUCGGGACACGGCCAGCGUGGCUAUUUCUGGCAUAUUCAAUCCUCCAGGUGCUAUUUUAACGUUCCUCCCCACUCUGUAAUUAUUCAACAUGCCAGUGAAGGUAACGAGUCGCUGGAAUCAGUGGUUGGCACCACAGGGUAAAAUAAAACCCUGGAAGUGCCUGAAGAAUGUGACAGGGGGAAAUAAAGUCCCAUUAUCGUCCCACUCGGGGAUGGAGGCGGUCCCCCCGGCUCACCGGCUUCGGCGGGAUGCUUGGUGAGUGUCAGCCCCGGUACCGAUGGGGACAACAAGCUCCUGAGAAGCAACUGGGAAACCCGAGUGCAUUUGCAAACAGCCCCUGGGUGCAACAACAGUCCAACGUAGGGACCUUGCUGGUGCACAGCACCCAGCACGGUGUGAUGGGCGCCGGUGGGACCGGGG